UGGGGGAUAUUGCACAAUGGGCGAAAGCCUGAUGCAGCGACGCCGCGUGGGGGAUGAAGGCCUUCGGGUUGUAAACUUCUUUUGCUCUGAACAAGGCGCACCAUGGGGUGUGUUGAGUGUAGGGGUUGAUUAGCGCCGGCUAACUACGUGCCAGCAGCCGCGGUAAUACGUAGGGCGCGAGCGUUGUCCGGAAUUAUUGGGCGUAAAGGGCUUGUAGGUGGCUGGUUGCGUCUGUCGUGAAAGCUCAUGGCUUAACUGGGGGUUUGCGGUGGGUACGGGCUGGCUUGAGUGCAGUAGGGGAGGCUGGAAUUCCUGGUGUAGCGGUGGAAUGCGCAGAUAUCAGGAGGAAUACCGGUGGCGAAGGCGGGUCUCUGGGCUGUUACUGACACUGAGGAGCGAAAGCAUGGGGAGCGAACAGG
This 419-nucleotide ribosomal RNA is filed under the name bacterium. Its description in RNAcentral is "partial 16S ribosomal RNA". It matches the Rfam family "Bacterial small subunit ribosomal RNA", at positions 355 to 776 of the family's 1533-position model. The record is from RNAcentral.